This 439-nucleotide ribosomal RNA is filed under the name Comamonadaceae bacterium Ellin7014. Its description in RNAcentral is "bacterial SSU rRNA". It matches the Rfam family "Bacterial small subunit ribosomal RNA", at positions 30 to 471 of the family's 1533-position model. Lineage: Bacteria; Pseudomonadati; Pseudomonadota; Betaproteobacteria; Burkholderiales; Comamonadaceae. The record is from RNAcentral.
AUUGAACGCUGGCGGCAUGCCUUACACAUGCAAGUCGAACGGUAACAGGUCUUCGGAUGCUGACGAGUGGCGAACGGGUGAGUAAUACAUCGGAACGUGCCCGAUCGUGGGGGAUAACGGAGCGAAAGCUUUGCUAAUACCGCAUACGAUCUACGGAUGAAAGCAGGGGACCGCAAGGCCUUGCGCGGACGGAGCGGCCGAUGGCAGAUUAGGUAGUUGGUGGGAUAAAAGCUUACCAAGCCGACGAUCUGUAGCUGGUCUGAGAGGACGACCAGCCACACUGGGACUGAGACACGGCCCAGACUCCUACGGGAGGCAGCAGUGGGGAAUUUUGGACAAUGGGCGCAAGCCUGAUCCAGCCAUGCCGCGUGCAGGAUGAAGGCCUUCGGGUUGUAAACUGCUUUUGUACGGAACGAAAAGACUCUGGUUAAUACCUGGG